RNAcentral lists this ribosomal RNA (793 nucleotides) under uncultured bacterium. RNAcentral describes it as "bacterial SSU rRNA". It matches the Rfam family "Bacterial small subunit ribosomal RNA", at positions 702 to 1501 of the family's 1533-position model. The record is from RNAcentral.
AAGGACAUCAGUGGCGAAGCGGCACUGGACAGAUACUGACGCUGAGCACGAAGCGUGGGAGCAAACAGGAUUAGAUACCCUGGUAGUCACGCCGUAAACGAUGUCAACUAGCUGUCUGUGGACUUGAUCCGUGGGUAGCGGAGCUAACGCAUUAAGUUGACCGCCUGGGGAGUACGGCCGCAAGGUUAAAACUCAAAUGAAUUGACGGGGGCCCGCACAAGCGGUGGAGCAUGUGGUUUAAUUCGAUGCAACGCGAAGAACCUUACCAUCCCUUGACAUCCACAGAAUUCGCUAGAGAUAGCUUAGUGCCUUCGGGAACUGUGAGACAGGUGCUGCAUGGCUGUCGUCAGCUCGUGUUGUGAAAUGUUGGGUUAAGUCCCGCAACGAGCGCAACCCCUAUCCUUAUUUGCCAGCGCGUUAUGGCGGGAACUCUAAGGAGACUGCCGGUGAUAAACCGGAGGAAGGUGGGGACGACGUCAAGUCAUCAUGGCCCUUACGGGAUGGGCUACACACGUGCUACAAUGGCAAGUACAGAGGGCAGCAAUACCGCGAGGUGGAGCGAAUCCCACAAAGCUUGUCGUAGUCCGGAUUGGAGUCUGCAACUCGACUCCAUGAAGUCGGAAUCGCUAGUAAUCGUAGAUCAGAAUGCUACGGUGAAUACGUUCCCGGGCCUUGUACACACCGCCCGUCACACCAUGGGAGUGGGAUGCAAAAGAAGUGGCUAGUUUAACCUUCGGGAGGACGGUCACCACUUUGUGUUUCAUGACUGGGGUGAAGUCGUAACAAGGUAACC